Molecule: long non-coding RNA, 34960 nt
Filed under: Panicum hallii
Lineage: Eukaryota; Viridiplantae; Streptophyta; Magnoliopsida; Poales; Poaceae
Description: long non-coding RNA (PHAL_LNC000499)
Rfam family: tRNA (bases 2907-2978)
Source: RNAcentral
AAAGGGAGUCCGCCUACCCCCCUUCUCUUAACGGCGAAUCAAGGCUCCCUAGUACAGAUUCGGGCCCAGCAGCAGUGGCUGAGGGUGUAGAAAUGGUAGCCGCGGGAUUUUGGUACUUAAGGGUUAAGUUUAAAUUCGUGGACAGGGAGGCGCCGGCUUCAUCGCGGGCACGUCACAGGGGGCCAACGAGCAAGUCUGAGGACGGUGGAGAUCGCGAGGAAAGCAUCAGGGUCCGUUCGACACGUGGCACAAUGGGGCCCUUGGCCGGCAUCCAUCGGCGUAGAGCGGCUGGUGGGCUGUAGGUGGGACCUGGGAAAAGAUGAUGGUCGGGGAGAAGGUUCUGGAAAGCGGCUACGCGGUUUGAAUUCUUUUCUUUUAAAACUACACGGUUUGAAUUCGACAUGACCAAGGCUCGUGCUUCUUGGCUAAGGGUCCUCCUCCUUUUUUUUGAGAUUACCUAAGGGUCCUUCUACGUGACGCAUUUUUUAAGAAACCUAGAAAAAGAUGUAUAAAUUCCAAAACAAAGGGUCUCGUGAAUUUAAAUAUUAACAACAAUGAUAAUCAGAUUGACUUGUGCAUAAAAUAAAAGUUAACAAUAUGAUGCAUGACAUCGAUUGAUCUCUCUGGUGUCAAAAUUUGCCAGUCUGCAGACGUUUUGUUUGUAUCAUGUGUAGCAAAUUGUUGAUAUAUAAAGUAAGGUGUAAAUAUGAGCACAAACGUUGUGUACUUGUGUAUACCUUUUACACGUCUUAUGAAGAGAACGUGCUACAACUAGAAUCAACUUUAUUACCCUCAAGUGAAAAUAGAAUUAUACAGUAAGGUGUCUUCAUCAAAUAGGUCCUGUAAAGCAAGGUUGGGGAUUUGUAGAUAUGGCUUUGGUUCUAUAGAGCACCAAGUUUUGUGAUAGGGCGCGUAGGUUGCGGUGAUAGCAGACAACUAGACAUUAUUCUCCUCAAACCAUGUUACCAGAUUAAAAUCCAUACUCAAUACACAUUUACAACAUAAAAAAAUGACGACCCAAAUCAUGUACCAUACAUUAGAAUGGCAAACAAAUUUGGAACCCGUACCCAUAUCAUGCCUCCGUAACUCAGUUUCAACCGUAUAUCCAAACACAACCUCGCCAAUUUAAAAGUUAUACCCUUUUCAUGCCACAAUUAAGACUGCAAUUCGUUAUGAGAUAACACAUAUUUUAAGCAAAUUUAGUACUCUAAUUCAUGGCACAAAUCGCUGGGAGAGGAGCUGUUGGAAUCUGGAAACAGGAAAAAGUCCAUUUGAACCAUGUAAAUUAUAUUUAUUUUAGAAUUCCAUCCACAACCGUGGACCUUGUGUUCUUAAAAUUCAGAACCUGACGGGGACACUUUGAAGUCGGAAAAAAUCACAUUGCCACCUUUUGCAGCUGUGCUUAGAAUUAAUAACACUUGAAGUUAUCUAUCCUUGACUAGAUACUUGUUUAUUGCCAUAUGCGGACCUAGUCCUAAACUAGCUCGUGGUACCCUUGAAGCCCAAUUUCCCAAGUGGGCCGAAGCCCAGCGGAUAAAAUGUUGGGCUAAGAAGAGCCCAAGAAUGCUUCUCUCCUAACAAAAGAGAAGUCAUGCCCUCGUACCAAACCUAUAUAGCUUCCGGAAGCCCGGAAGGCUUCCACGUUCUCCACCGUCCGAUCCAUCUCCCUCACCCGCCCGAUCCUCUCUCUAUCUUCUUCCUCCUCUCGGCUUCUGCCCGCGCCACGCCACUCGCUCGCUGGAGCGCGAAGGGGCGGGAGGUCGGGGAGCGGCCGGCAGUGAGGUCGCCACUGACCGGGGGAGGUGGUGGAGGCGGUGGUGGUUAGGGCUAGGAUUUGGGUUUACCGAGGUCCGGGGGUUUCAAUGGCCUCCGGAUAUAGAAGAGGAGGGGGCCGGGAGGCGGCUGAGGAUGGGCGGCGGCGGCGACGGUUUGGCCGGCGGCAAAGGGCGAGGCGGCGCGGGAGCGCUGCCAGUUAGGCAGGGCAAGACCCAGCAGUAAGACUCCCGGUGGGCAGUGCCGGCCGCGGGGGCGAGGACGCCCACCUCGUUAGGAAGGGUGGGGUCGAGAGGGUAGGGGCGGGCGGUGGGCGGGCGGCGCGGCGGCGGCCGCCGCCAGCCGAGGAGGAGGCCGGGGCGGAGGCAGCCGAGAGAUGAACAGUAAGUGGGUCUAAUAGGCCUCCCUCCCCGGUAUACCAGACUUUUCAGGUUUCAGGCUGUCAAGUAUAUCCCGAUGCUCGAUCAGCUCAAAUUAACUUGGUAACUCCAUGUUUCGCGAUCCAUCGAGCACAACCAAAUCUACUUCCCUUAAAAAAAACCCGAAACUGUAUUCCGGCUGUUAAAACUAUCACUACACUGCUGCUUCACGACAUGGUGAAGGCAGUUUUAAGGUCUAAGAUUGUUGAUCUGAAGUCUGAACGGUCUAGCGCUCGAACUCUGAAACUAUGGACUGUAGCUUGGCUAGCAUCAGCAAAUGAGAAUCUCAAACUAAAGCACUACUAACCCAAUUCGGCGAAGCAAAACGUGGCAUCACCAAAACCCAAGAAAAGAACGAGUUGGAUCUAGUGAGAACUGAGAACAACGAGAUACUACUCACAGAGUCACAGUCGCGGCCUCACGGGCAGCGGUGAAGAUUUGCCCCCUUAAGCUUCGUUCGUGAUGACACCGCGGUGGCGGAAACGCCAGUCGCCAUGGCCCAUGGGGCGGAGCGCAGAUGCGCAGCUGGAGCGGGGAGGAUUACCUGUCGGGGUCGAUAAGAGCAGCGCAAGCGAUGAGGGCGGAGCAGGAUGACGAUCCACUUGUAAAGGGAUCAGCGGAACGCGGAAGCUGGGAAUAUGCUACUGGGAUGUGCGGAUGCCCAACGGUCCUCUAACUCUACAUUAUAAAGCGAUGAUACAAAUUUGCAUCGAAGUCGUUGUAGUAUAGUGGUGAGUAUUCCCGCCUGUCACGCGGGUGACCCGGGUUCGAUCCCCGGCAACGGCGCUAUUUUUGUCUUUUUAUUUACACAGCGUCCGUUCCUUUUUUUCUCCUCCCUGGGAAGCUUGACGUCUUCAAUACCUAAGCAUGCCAUGGGGUGAACCAUCGCGGUUUUGCGCUGUACUGACGCGAUAGCAACUCGCACAGGAGAAAACUUUGCCGUGGCUUUCAAAUCUUCGUUUUUCCAAGGGUUCAAACCAACAGCAAUCAUGCCGUCCGGUGCCAGGACGGGAGUACUUCUUCGCUCUUCAAGCUUGAAACGGAAUUUUCCCGCUUUUUAGAUAACCAUGAAAACCCCAGCCAACAAAAGGUCAUGCAGCACCGUCAGUCGAUGGACGACACCACGACAGGACGUCCUCCCAAAAUUGACACCGUUCGCCACUCAGCUCCGCUGCCCAAAAGGUCAAACGGGUGAUCCCGACAGAAGUUUCCCUCGCACCGCUCAAGUGCCAAAUCGUUCCCAGCGCAGCCGAGCUUGAGCAGCCGCUCGGAGCACGAGCAGAGCAUCCCCAUCCCCGCCAUUACUCCCCGCCGUCCCUCUGCCCCGGCAAUAAAUGCAGCCGCUCGAGCCGCGCACCCACCCCCGCCAGAUCUGAACCCCGCGACAAGGCAGGCGAAGGAAGAGAGGAAGGGAAAAAUCUCGCCACUUCACCACGCCACCUUCCCACAUUUACUCCCCUACGCCCCCACCCCACGCGGCAGCGAUUCCACCCGGGCAUCCACCACCACCACCGUGCCGUGCGCACGCUACGCCAAUGCCAUUCCGCCGCUCCAUCGCCACGAGGGACUCGCCGCCGCCGGCACAACCGCAAUGUCCCUCCUUUCCUCGCUGUCCAACCUUGGCCUCGGCUACUCCAUCGCCAUCGCGCUCGGCUUCCUCGUCCUGUUCGCCUCGCUCCUGCUCGCCUCCUACCUGUGCUUCCGCCGCGGCGGCGGGGACUACUGGGCCGGGGAGGCCGCCACCACGGCGUCCAGCUCCGGCCACCUCUCCAUCACCGUCCCGCGCGUGCUCUUCGUCGCGGAGGGCUCCGAGUCCCCCGACGCCGCCUACUCCUCCGCCGCCGCCGCGUCCUGCUCCCCCGUCGGGCUCGACCGGGCCGCCAUCGCGUCCUACCCCAAGGUCCCGUUCUCCAGCAGGGCCGCCGAGCCCGACGCCAUGUGCUCCAUCUGCCUCAGCGAGUACAGGGACGGCGAGAUGCUGCGCGUGAUGCCCGAGUGCAGGCACGGGUUCCACGUCGCGUGCCUCGACGCCUGGCUGCGGCGGAGCGGCUCGUGCCCCGUCUGCAGGUCCUCGCCCAUCCCGACGCCCACCGCCACGCCGCUCGCGACGCCGCUCUCGGAGCUCGUUCCUCUCUCGCACUACGCCGCCGACCGGAGGCGCAGGUGAUGGACGUUGCCACACCGGUGCAACACGGUGCUUGUCACUGCAUUACUCUUUUUUUUCAUCUCUUUACGUUCGAGGAUGUGAAGUUGUGGGUUGCUUUACUGUGGGGUUGUUUUAGGAUAUCUAGAGAAUUGUUUAAUUUGGAAGUCACAAUGAUCUUGAUUAGAUUUUGUAAUGUAGAAGUAGAUGAUUGGAGCAGGGGAUAGUGUAAAUAACAAUACAGAUUGCUUGUUUCUGUGAGUAACCUUCUGGUAAUUUAUCCAAUACUUAUACUUACUACUGAAACUAUGGCCAGAUGGAAUGUAGAGAAUUGGUGUAUGAUGGCUACUUAUGUCACCGAAUGGAACGCAUAACUAUCACUUUUUAUUUUUCAUCCUUUGCUGCAUUGGGGACUUGGAAGAACCUUUGCAUUUACCUGAUCCCAUCAAACUUGCAUUUCGUAUUGGAUUUUUGUAUGUCAAGUAUCCAAGCUAAGCGACAGAUCUUAUAUGAACCUUUAUCAGUAUAGGAAUUUCCUGGGUCCAGGAGACUUUUAGCUCCGCAUGGUUGGUGAGCAGGACCAUCAAUGCCCAUGCGCUAAACGAAUGUUAAUUUGUCUUUUAUCUUCGUUGGCAUGGGGACAUGCGGAGUAUUUGUUAAGGUUGACUGAUUUACUUUAAGGUAAGCUAAUUUUACGGUUGUAAUUUUAGCUCUAAUGUCAGGGUUACUCUGUGGCUCUGUGCACCUCUGGGUAAUAAUCAUCACAAUUAGAAAUAGAUCUCUGUACAUGUUGCUAAACAUACAUGAUACUGGACCUUGGAAGCGGCGAAUUCAAUGUUAAUAUAGUGAUGCAGAAAAUUGGAUCCAACCUACUGUUUUGCUCCUGUUUGAGAAUUCCACUCAUUUUGUUGGCAUGACAUACAUGGUGACUUCUUAUUAAAGCACAUCAUACAUAUCAAAACCAAACUCAGGCUGGUGCCAAUGGGGGGCGAUAUCGCCCCCCUGUCGCCCCAGCCCAGGCGAGAGCGAGGCGAGAGGCAGGCGAGAGGGAGAGAGAAGGCGGUAGCACUACCGCCGGGCGAGAGCGGGCGCUAUCGCCCCGCUCUCGCCCGCGUUGGCAGGCGGUAGGCGGGCGGUAGCAAGGCGGUGCGCUGGCGUCGGGCGAGAGCGGUGGGGCGGGAGUGACGUGGCGCGUUUCUAUUGGUCCACAUGGAGGUUGAAAUAAUUAAAUUUGGAAAAGAAAAUCUGACGUGGAGAAAAAAGAAGUGAGAGCUAGCACUAUAGUGUCUGCAUUGGAGGGGUAGGGUGAGAGUGGGGGCGAGAGCUGACGUGGCGGAGCGCGAGUGAGGCGAGCCACUGGACUCAGCCUCGAAUUGAGGCGAGCCAGUGGACUCACCCUCGUAUUGUUGUAGAUAUUUACCUACGGAGUACUCGAACUGUGUUUGAUUUUUCUUCUCAUGCCAUAAUGACUGAAAAUAAUCUUUUUGUGUACAUAUUAUAAUGACUGAAAAUAAUCUUUUUCGGUACACAUUCAAUUGCGCCUCCCAAUUUCCCUGUCGCAUAUUGUACGUCUGUUGGCAAGUCAGUGUAUCGUGGUACCAUUUGAAGUUGCUUGUGGGCUUGGGGUAGUACUCUAACUGGGUCCACAUAAGAGUGGUACUUACUCAGGAAUUUCAAAAGGCUGAUGUGUUAAUGUAAGGGCCUAGAAACUAGAACUGCAACGGCAAGCAAAGCAUUACUUAUUACUUGCACUAUCAGUAAUUUUAAUACAUUUCCCUAGUCCACCCACCUGCAAAAGUUUUUAACGAGGCGGCGCUUGCUCCCUUUUGUCUUAUGCCCUCAUAAUGAAUUUCUCUUUAGUUACUCCUGUUCCACAAUGCUUGUAAGGCCUUAGAAGCUUGACAGCAAGAAAUUGGAAUUCUGUUGAAGAUGGUACCUGUUGAUAUUGAUGCCUGGGAAGUUCUGAAUUCAACUUUUAUGAUAAUUUGGAAAUGAAUUCUCUGAUGCACUUGUCUUAGCUUCUGAUUCUUGUGGGUGUAUGGUUAAUGCACUUGUUGACUGAUUGUCUGCUUCUGGUUUACUCUUGAAACAAGACUAGCAGCUUCGACACGCUUUCGUAUUUGCAUAUCUGUUCUGACUAAAGUCCUGAAUUUUCAAUCCAUGUACUGUUUCUUUUCUUUUACCUACAUGCUUCAACUUGCACUCAUGGUUGAACUUGACCAGUUAGAUUGUUUACGUUCAUCCGUGAGUUUUGCAUACCCUUUUGAUCCCACUGUGAGCGCAAAACGUUUCUUACAAAUGUUCAAAGACAUGUUUAUAACGUAGAAACAGUAUAUGUUACAAUUCCUGUAGGAGCUAGGAAAAAUAUUGUUUUCAGCACGUUUUAGAGUCUAAUGAUUCAGCGAUUCCUGUGCUUGUACUGAAAAUCAAAUUGAUCUCUUAACAUUAAAUGUCAGAAUAAAUGGUGUGCUACCAUAAUAACUGGAUAAGCAGGGUUGCAGGAGCAGACCAGAAAUUGAGGAAAUAAUGGUAAGUCCAUGCUGAAGUAUUAUUUGCUAAUGACCUGCUGAGUGAACAGCCACUUGUACAGCAAGGAGCUGCUCUCGCCGUGGCUGGCACGACUUGGCUGAAGACCCUCGCAGUCGCAGUCAUUGGAGCGAAGAGCAAAAGGUGGAAUAGUGGAUGAUGGAGAGCAGGAAGCUGGCAUUAUCACGCCGGAGAAAUGGCGAGCAGUAUGAGGAUGCAGGCAACCGAGCGUACAGGCGUACGGUGUACGACAUGCAUGACGAACUGGCUACCUCCGGAAUACGCGUCUCCAUCAUGCACAAUGAGAGCAGGUGAGCAGGAGCAGCAGGGGGGACGGUGCUAGCGACUGGGCGAGCACGGGCACGCGCACAUGGGCGGGCACUGGAGGAGGGCAGGGCAGGGCAGGGCACGACAUUGAACCGGGGCUGGAACGGCCGUCGCCCAGCGGGGCAAGCAGGUCAGGGCUGUUUUCUAGUGUGGGUGACUGGCGGCACGCUGCAAUGGCUGCAUGCAUGAUGCUUGUACUCUUGUAGCAUAUGGAACAGAUCUCCAGCUGCACGAUCUGGACGGAUUUGGAGAGGACGAACCAAAUUGGGGGAAGACGACGGAUGCGUGCCGAUUUGUUUUGCGGAAGGGAGAUUGUUUUACUCGCUGCGGACGAGGCCUUUCGUUUCUUUGCGAGGAUUGUUUAGACGAUGCUCUGGCGACGCCGAACAAGCCUGGCUUGCAGGAAUUCAGUUCAGAAUGACGCCCUCUUGCUAAAGAAUCUUCACAGGUUCUUCGAUACAGAAAUGGUCGUUUACCAAGCACAGCCAAGAUGGUGGUCUUUCUGGUAGCGUGGCGUGACAUUCUCAAGUUGCUGUACUAAUACAAAGGCUUAGCCACAGUCGGUUUCACCUCGAAUUCGCGCAGCGGCUUCCACAACAACGGCGAUUGCCGAGUCUGUACGUCGCACGCCGCCGCAACCGACAGCACACCUGGCUCCGGAGAGAAGAAGGUGCGUGAUCAACUUUGGGCCUCAAAAGCCUUGGCGCGGAAAUGGAUGCAAUCUACGGCCCGUCGCCGUCCGGAGAGACAAACAGAAGACAUUUCAUGGUGAAAGCUCUCCCGCGCCUCUCAUGGCGGAGUUAACGACCAGCAUCGCAGCCUGGUCCAGGGGAGUUUCCGCUCAAGCGCACGGCAUCUCGCUCGGCUCGGACGCGCGGCUUGUUGCGGGAGCAGCGGCGUGCAGACCUCGUGAGUGGGAAGACGGAAGGUGCUGAGGGAGGGAUAUGCCUUUGCGCUUCCGCUGGAACGGAAACAUGGGGAAGGACGGCGGCGGCGGCGGCGCCCGUCGUUGGGCAGGCCGGAGGUGGAGCAGUCAGAAGGGGUUUAGUGAAAAUAUCCGAUCUAUCAUUUUACAUAUGGACCCCUAAUCAAACCAGGGGGUUUAAGAAAAUGUCCGAUCGAAAUUUUACAAAAGGACCCCUGUUUCGAUCGGGGUUGGUUCCCCCAUACUUCAGGGCGGCGGCGCGGCUCGUGCCCGCAUCGUGGAGAUCUAUCAUACUCACCCGCUCAUAAGGAGCCAGGCACCCCGCGCCGCACCGCUCGCAUUCCCAGAUCCUCCACAGUUGCCGUCGUGGCGGCGCGACGGGAGCGAUGUGGCCGGAGACGGCGAAGGAUCCUGCUACGAGCGGAUGGCCGUGUUUCCGACUUGCGCUUGCUUUGGCACCCUCGCCUCGUCGGCGCCGCCCGUGCUCGCGUCCUCCAGCUCCAGCUCGUUGUUGGUUUAGGAGAAAGUGCUUUGUUGCAAGCUUGAAGCUUCCAUCUCCUCGCAUUGAAGCUUCCAUCUCCUCGCAUUUUGCAAUCGCGUGAAGGAUGCGCUGGAGAUAUCCGGAGGUACAACUUGCAAGAGGGCUAGUGAUGUACUGAAACUGAAUGUAUUAGCUUAUGAAGGCUGAGAAUACACAAUUACACAUACAAAGUUACAAACUUCAUGGCUUGGUUUUGUCAGCAGGUUUCGAUGAGGCUGAGGUUCAUUUGCCUUUAUCAGCAGGAGCUAUAUGCUCACUCUUUCAUUUGCCUUUAUCAGCAGGAGCUUUUCAGCAUUUUUCAGGUGCGUGCAAACCAGCUUGAAUCUUUUGAGCAGCAUGUGAACAGAAAAAAAACAUAGGAAUUUAUCCUAGCAUUUCUCAUCUCCUCUGCAAUGUUCAGCAGUAACUGGAAUCGACGGUACAAAGGCAAUUACUUUUACCAGGUAACAUGGGCAAUGAGAGAUAUUAGUGGUAUGUCUAAUAACAGUCUGUUGAACAUUCUGUAAACUGUAACCUUCUUAUCUGAAAUUGGAACACCGAGAUUGGUGUACUUGAAACAUAUUUGAAGUCUUAAUCCAUGUAAGUUUUUCCAAUUUCGUAAAUUAAUAAUCAGUAUAAAAAAAUCAGAGAUCAAUUACAGUUUCAGUAGAGCUAUGCCGGAUUUGGAUUGAACAAAAAAUGUUUGGCUCUCUAAGCUACAUUAGAUAACAUGCCAUUCUUAUCAUUGUUCGACCCGUGAUUAUAUCUAGCUCUAGUAAGUAAAGAUUUGGGAAAAAGAGAAUGCAAACUUGAUACCAGCAAUUGGGCUUCCUGAAUGCCAAAGCUGAACUUUUCAAAAAAAAAAAAAGCCGAAGCUGACUCUGACUUUCAUGUCCUGCCCCAGCUAUUUCUGCUUCUUGCAGAUGAACAAUGACAGCUCGAAAGAAAAAUUUUGACACCCAAACACAUCAAAUUCUUUGUAUCCUGUUAAUACUGAGCCUUAAGAGUUAGUCAGCUAGUUAUGGAUAAAAAGAAAAGAAAAGUGAUGGGAGAUGGUAAAAAAGACGUCUUUUAAGUAUUUUGGGCCUGUAAAGGGCCAUGAAAAGACUCGCGGUUUCUCAUAAAAAAAAUUAGAUAACCAUUGGUCCAAUUAUCCCAACACAUUUAGAAUGGCACUACACCACCGAGCAUAAUUAUACAUCACUUGUGAUGAAAUCAGAACCCAUCGCCUGAAGCGGCCACAAACGGUCCAGAACCAUCUUCUUCCUCCUUGCGCCGUUCGUCGCCCCGCUCGCCCCAACCCCACCCUCCGCCUUCGUCUCCAGUGGCAGGAGCCGCCGGAUUCGCCGCCGUCGACCGCCGCCAUUGGAGUUGGAGCUGCUCGCCCACGCGCCGCCGUCGGGGUUGCUCACCCCCACACCGCCCUCCACCAUCGCCUCUACCGCUCCCGCCGUCGAUUGUGCCGCCACCAACCCCCGCCGCCCAAACCUACCUCCGUUGAGCGCCAGGGGAGCUCGCCGUGACUCCCCCGCUGCCUCCGCAGGCCACCGGAUAUCCUCCAUGGCCCGCGGCCCGCGGUGUCCGCCGCCUCGUCCACAGUCCGUCACCACCGCCCGCUACCAUGCUGCCGCCGACCUCCUUUUAUGGCCGGGCACGCAGGAGACAAGCCGGCCCCGGCAAUCUGAACUCCUGAACCGUAACCCUAAUACGACAGCGAGCGGAGGAAGACGAGUGGAUGAGGAAGAAGACGCAGCACGAGAGGAGGAAGAAGGCUGUCGUGGGCUGCGGAAAUUGAAUUGGGCCGGAUUCAACUCACUUCAUGUGAUGGCUCGCGCGUUUGUCGCGCGAGCGGUGUGUAGCCACGGCGCUACACCACCUGUGAACUUAACUGAAACAAAGCUCGGGAUGUAGAGCCGGCAGUAAACAGAGACAGACCAGAACGAUCAAGCUCCAGCAACAUAGAAAUCCUGUGGGAUUACCCCAUGGAGCUUCCUUGAGAAGAUCUCCGUUUGUCGCGCGAGCGGUGUAUAGCCACGGCGCUACACCACCUGUGAACUUAACUGAAACAAAGCUCGGGAUGUAGAGCCGGCAGUAAACAGAGACAGACCAGAACGAUCAAGCUCCAGCAACAUAGAAAUCCUGUGGGAUUACCCCAUGGAGCUUCCUUGAGAAGAUCUCAGUUUGCAGCUCGUUUCAAAUGUGUCAGAACUUGUGGUUUCAGUUCCACAAUUGUAGAAUGUUUUAUCGCUCAAUGUUAACUUUUUGCAGGUUGCCCUUAUGUGUAAUAACAGUUAGCUUUAAAACUGGCGGCAGGCACAUGUGGAUAGCGAUGAUUCAGCUUCUCUCUGUCGCUUCACACCGCUGAGCUAGAGCUCCCAUCAGCGGUGGCAUUUGAUUUAGAGUUUAGGGUUGAGAGGUCGAGUGCGGAAGGGUUCUCCUCUCCCUCGAAUCAUAGAAGCUACGCGGAAUUGAGGUCAGUUUGGUGGAAGUGGCAGGUGACUGAUAGCCAAGAAAGACGGUGCGUGCGUGGUACGCGGCCACCAAGGCGACAGUGGACUGGCGCUUGAGAGUGGGUCAUGGGCCCUUAUAGCUUUUCUGCGAAGCGAUUCUCUAAAAAAUCCUGCUAUGGUAAGAAUCCGCUGCCUACAGAAUCUGCUGGCAUAAGAAGCUGAGAGUUUGGCAACCUGAUUUUCUUAUAAUUGAUUAUCUGCACUGUGUGUGUAAUGACACAUAUACCUCUGACACAAACAAUACCUUAUUUGGUGGCAGAAUAAGCAUAGAAUGAAGUAAUCCAAUAAUCACACUAAUUUCUUAUAUUACAAGAGUGGCUAAAUUUGAAUCAAGACAUAAUUUAUCAUUGCUAGCCUAUUAAAACUCUUUUUUCUCUCUCCAAAACAAUAAAAGCAACUACUUGUGUAAAUUAACUACUUGUGGCAAAAUAAGUAUAGAAUGCAACAAUCCAAUAACAUAGCAUUCAUGUAAACACAGAAUUCAUGUGAAUCAUGAGAAAAUUAUGUUGGAGCAGACCGGCAGCAGAGCUCGUGGCGGAGCAAAACGGGCCGGCGGAGAUUGCGGCGGAGCAGAUCAGGCCGACAGAGAUUGGGGCGAAGCAUAUCAGGGUGCGCGACCGAGUUUCGAAGGCGGCGUGGCUGAGGUCUGGCUGUGGCGAGCCCGAGCGGCGCUGCAGGCAAGAUUAGGGCAGCGGCGCAGCCGAGAUCCGCAGCCAACGGCUCAGGCCGGCGUAGGGAGGAAGGCGGUAUGUGGGGGACAAGAUUGGCGGUGGGCGGUGGAGAGGAGGGGGGAGGGCGGUGGGCAGGGGAAAGGAGGGGGCCGAAACCGUAGACCGUCUUUAUAUUCGAUGGCAUUUUGGUUGUAAUUUUGAUGAAGUUCAGGAGUUUUUUCAUAAUGAACAUUUGAUGGCAUUUUGGAUAUAAUUUUGAUGAAGUUCAAGAGCUUUUUCAUAACAAACCCCACCGAAUCAGCGGUAUUUUACCUCAAGCGGUGGGAGGACCAAUUCCUUACGUCAGUUAUUUUCCCUUGGAGAAUCGUUUCUAGUGGAAUCGACGUAAAAUCGCAGCGUUUAGCGGGGGUUGUUGAUUAUUUUUUCCUAAGAAUCAAUCUAGAAUCGGAAACAAGCACGGCCAAGGUCCUUCAGUCCGUGGUGGCGGCGGAGGGUGUGCAGCGAGAUGGUGUUGGCAGUUGGCACCGGUGGCGGCAAGCAACGGAGGUGACUAGACUGAUCCGGCGACGUCACAUUCAGACAUUCAGAGUUGGUUGAUUUGAGGAUGCUCCUAGGACUGGUUGUUAUGGCACCACUGUUUUUUACAUCUGUCCUUUCUGAAUGAAGAAAUGGUUAGCAAGGUAAUUGUUUCUGAGAGGGAUCAAUAAACCCAUGGAAAAACAUGCGGCGUUAGAAAAAGGAACUCUGACAAAACAUGGUGGGUAGCCUACCAUGUACCAAGUACCACAGUCGAUAUAAAGGACACGGAUUAGUUGGUUUGCUCUCUUUCAUGCCACUGUGUCAGUGUCACAGACACGCAGCAGACAGAAACUACUCUGAAUCGAAGCUGAUUGAAUACGGCCUGAACUUGUAGGUAUCCUCUCAUCAGAAUUUAGAAAAGCACAUAAAUACACAAGCCGUUGAGCAUCAAGACAGACGUUUAUGAUAGUCACUCUUCUGUAACCAAAAAAAUGUACUUGUUACUUGUAUACAGAAGGAGAGGGGAGAAAGGCAAAAGAAGCACAGAGCUAGACAGCUAGUAGCAACAAAAAUAUAUGAAUCCAUGGAGGUGGCUAACGACCUUCUAACCGAAAUGAUCAGCUGACGUUUGCAACGCAGGUGGUGGAUUUGCUCUGCACGGUGGUGAAGGCCCCCACCUCCAGCGUGAUGGAGCAGUUCAUCUUGAUGUCGAGGUCCCUCUUGUAGAUGCCCAGCACGCUGACCCUCCCGGCUAUCUCCGUGUAGCUCGUGAGGUUGUAGUCCUGGCCGAAGAUGAGGUCGGUGGCGUUGACGUUGGGCGAGAUGCGGUCGGCGAGCACGUCGAGCGUGACGUUCAUGCGCACGGUGCGGCCGGCGCCGACCUCGCCCCCCGGCGCGUACGCCACGCCCACCGUCUCCCCGGCGUAGUAGAAGUCCGUCUCGCUGCGGCCGAACCGGAAGGAGGCCGCGUUGGGGUUCUCGAUGGAGACGUCGGCGCUGAGCGUGGCGUUCACGGACACCGGGUGCCCCGCCGCGGUGCCCAGGUCGCCGUCCACGCCCUCCAGCGUGACGCCGUUCAUGGUGAGGACGGGGUCCCGGACCUUGAACACGGUGAGCGCGAGCACGAGGGCGGCGAUGCCCAGGAGGACCACGGCGGCGCCGCAGCAGCCGCAGCACCAGAGCGCGCACCGGCGCUUCCGGAGGUACUGCGCCGAGCGCCAGCGCUUGGAGGAGGUCGCGACCUCCUCGUCCCCGGCGGCGCCGUCGGCCGCGGCAGGGUAGACGGUCGGGGACGCGGUGGCGAGCGGCCUCGUCGGCGGCUCCUCUUUCCCCGCCUCGGUGGCGGCGUUGUUGUACGGCCCUGCGGUGGCGGUCGCGGUCGCCAUGGGGUAGGGACUGGGAGGGGAGAGCAGAGGAGGCGCUGGCGAUCAAGCGUGCGGGACGUGAGAAAUCUUGAUGCUGGGUCGCGAAGCUCUUAUACGGUGGAUUCUCGCACGGAAGGCACAAAAGUUCUCGCUGUGGCGGGCCGCCGUGCAUCGCGUACGUGUUCUUCGCGACGGAGCCGGACAAACACGUCGGCUUGACUUCCGCCAGUUCGCCGCCGCUUGAACUAUGUGUGUGGACUGCACCACCAAUAAAUGGGCCGUGCAGGUUUCCGCUGACACAAAUUGACUCCCGGGCAUUUGCCGUUGCCACCUGCGUGUUUUUUUUCCCUCUCGAGAUAUGAUAGAACACGAGAGUCAAGUAGUCAACCUCGCUGCUUGUAAAAAAAAAAACAAAAACUCGCUGCUUGUUUGCGUUUACUUGUUUCUAGGCCUCCCAUGGAGGGGGUGUUUCCUGGGUCUUCUAAUGCCAUUUUGUUUAAAUGAUUCUCCCCUCUACAGAAGUGGCGUAUCCUGCUGAAGCCUGCUGAGCAAUCGCUACUGGAUGAGAAGACUCAGAAGCUCAAGUUCUGGCUUCAGGAGUUUGAUGGGAGGCCGAGAAAGGGUGACAACAUGGAAGACCUGCUUUAGAAAAUCAGUCUUUUUCCUUUUAUCUGUCUCUGUGUUUGUUGCGCACAGUAGUAGGGUUUUUCCCUGGUAGUUCUGUUCUGGUCGACAAUGUUUGCUGGUAACCCCAGCGUGUGUCGUGCUUGAGUCCCUUUUGGGGCUUGUAUCGAAUUAUAUGCUUUCUUAUAAGCAUGGGUAAUUCUUUUUCGAAAAAAAAGCACCAGGUAUUUUUUUUCCUCUCUCGCGAUACUGCGAUAGAAAGGGCUGCAAAUUGGCAUGCUUCAUGAAGGUAGACCGGGACGAUUUGGUCGUGGAAGGCAUGAGGCUUUCGUCAACAGAACUGCUGUCGCGAGGCCUUUAAUCAGUUUAAGUGAGCGAUCGAAUUUGACGACCUCGCGCACUUGACCUGGUAUAUCGUGAUCAGCUAAGUACAUUAUUUCGCGAAUCAUAGGCAUGUCUCCUCUCUGCAGCAGAUUUGCCAUGUGGAUGCGUGUGCAAAGAAACGGAAGGCAUGGAAUCCCACGAGUCCGAGGUCCCGGGAUGCGGCCUGCCAGAACGCAACGACUCCAUCGCAGAGAGAACAACGACCCCGUGUCAAGAACGCGAUCGAGAUCCGGAUGGAAACCGGCAGCCGCAUCGUUUUGCACCCCUGCAGUUGGGCCGCCUGAUCCCUGUGGUGGAGAUCGCCGCCUCACCGGGCUCUUCCUCCGCCGACCGAGGCUUCGCCCCGCCGUCCCCAUCAUUAAAGAUGGCAACACGUAAAAUUCACGUGGAUAUACGCUUCGUGAAAAAAAAUUUAAAUUUGCAUCCACGCCUGCUACCCGUUACAGGUAGAAAAUCAUACCCAUACCUACUAUCUGUGAGUGCCCCAUGCCCGCGGGCACGCCUGUUUACCCCGCAUGCCAGGGGCCCGGGGUGCCAGGCAGCUAGGGCGCGAGCAUGGGCACAGCGAGAUCUGGAGGGAGAGGGAGUGGACGGCUGGUGGAGGACUGUAGAGAGGCGGCGCGCAGUAGGACCGGAGGAAGGGGCCGGGCGGGAGCGGGAGCGGGAGCGGGAGCGGCGCGCGAACUACAAGGGCACCGACGUCGCCGUGGGCGCGCGCAAGGGCGAGGCCCUGAGCCCUAGGCGUGCCGACCGGUCGGUGCAUGGGGAGAAGCCGAGGAGGAGGGGCGGCGCUCAGGGAGGAGGACGGGAGCGACAAUGCAGAAGGGGCAAAAUCGGGGGAGGGAGGGGGCAGUCGGGUGGGAGGCUGGGUGGUGGCGGCUAGGAGUGGGAUUUGGGAGCUAGUUGGAGAAAUGGGAAGAAAAUACUAAAGAUUCUUUAUAUAUACGGAUGUUUGGGUGCAUAUGUCAGCAGAUUUGGCGAGUUUAGGUAUCAAUUUUAUAUACCCGCUAGUAGAUGUAUGUUAGGUUUAGUGUUAUACCCGCGUCCGUAUCCACGGGCACAAACUUAGACCCGUAUUUAUGCCUACCGAGUUUAUUAUCCAUAAGAGCGGGGGGCGGCAGGGGCCAUGGCCCCCUGGUGAUCUAGAUAAACAAGCUUAGAUUACUGAUUUAGACUAAUCAUGAAUUAUUUUGAUCUCUAUUUUAAUAAUUAGGACUUCUAAUCAUUAGAACCAAGCACUGUUAGAUUUUUAUAGAUAUAAUGUCAUGUUCUGCUAUCCUACUUACCAUAUAUUUAAUUUAUUUUUUCUAUAGAUAAGCUACACGUUAUGCUAAAAUUGUGACUGACGUAGCUUUUUACUGACCAGAUACUGUCUAUAAUAUUCAUACAUAGGUAUGCGGAUAUUUCGACAUGUUUAGCCCCCACGCCCACAUCCGCCACCGCCCGCCCCGCCUCUUUUCAAAGCAUGGUCGACGCGCUCCGGCUGUGCGAGCCAUCGCCUCGCGCGCUCCUCCGCUCGUUGAGCUCCGCACGCCCCCCGCGUACUUCUACUACAACCACCAGCGCCUUGGCUUCCUUCCUCUGCCUACCGUACCAGUGCUCCGCCCCACCCCACGAGGCGCUCCUUCACUUCCCCCGGCCUUCCGCCGAUCUCGGCGCCGGACAUGCCAUUCUCAGCGCCGGCCUUCCCCUGGCCUACCGCAUUUUACUUCCGCUAGCAUAAAUAGUUGCAACAGCCGUCAAUUUUGUUCCGCUCUAGCGAUGAUUAGCAAUGCUCAAGUGAGAUUAUGCCCGCGCAAAAAAAUCUUCCGUAAUGACUUUUUUGACUCGUGUGUGUUAUGGGUCUUCACCUGGUUGCAUAGGGCGACGCGUAGCAUCAGCCCUAUUCCCCUCGAGACACUUGGCAGCUGACAGAAUGACAGCAGCUUCAUACGUUCAGUACCGCUCUCCGAGUAUGCGCAGCAUGAGGCGAUUGUGCUUGUUUAGCCUUCUUCAAGCUAUGAUACCUGAACAUGCGUGCGUGUACGGAUCAUGGCCCAAUGGAUGGUCCUGAAGAGAUCAUUUAACGUUUAACCCCCGUGUCGGGGCUUGAUUGAUUGACCUACUGACGGUGAACAUGGCGAUGAUUUUCUUCAUUGAUUUGCCGUGCAAGACGAUGGGGGUAGGUAGGACUCGUGGUCCAAAAUGAAGCCCGUAAAGGUAUAAACGGAAGCAAAGGUCACGGCGCCGUGCAAUACAACAAGUCACAACAGCAUUCGCGCCAUCUUCUCGCUCAAGCAAACCCCCGGGCAGCAGCUCGCGGCCACCGGACAGAAAUGGCGAGCCACGGCGAGGAGGCAAAGAAGCAUGUGGUGAUCUACGCCCCGGCGUCGAUGGUCAACAACAGCCACCUGGUCUCCAUGGCGGAACUCGGCGAGCUGCUCGCGGCGCGCGGCCUCGAGGUCACCGUCGCGCUCGGCGGGCGGACCGACGACGAGGCCGCCGAUUCAUUCGCUGACGGCGCCGCCGCCGCGCACCCCGCGCUCUCCUUCCGCCGCCUCCCGCCCGUGACGCGCCCGCGCGACGUGCCCGCCCACGACCACGUGGCGCUGGCCUUCGAACUCGCCCGCGCCUCCAACCCCGACCUCCGCGAGUUCCUUCGCGCCGCCUCCCCGUCCCCGGCCGCCCUCGUCCUCGACUUCUUCUGCGGCAGUGCCGUGCACGUCGGCGCCGAGCUCGGCAUCCCGACCUACUUCUUCUUCACCUCGUCCAUCUGCAUCCUGGCGGAGUUGCUGUACCACCCCGUGAUCCAUGAGCGGACAACCGUGAGCCUCCGAGACCUCGGUGGCGAGCGUCUAAACUUUCCGGGCAGCCCCGAGAUACCCGCGGAAGACCUCCCCGCGGCAUACCUCGACCGCGACGGCCUCACCCACAGGCUCUUCCUCGCCCUGUCCGAACAGAUGUGCGAAUCCCACGGCCUUAUCGUGAACAGCUUCCGCGCGCUGGAACCGCGCGCCACCGACGCCAUCGUGAACGGCCUCUGCACGCCGCCGGGGCGUCGGACGCCACCGCUGCACUGCGUCGGCCCACUGACGAAGCUGGACAAGGCCGGCGCGAACCGGCACGAGUGCCUGGCGUGGCUCGACACCCAACCGGAAGCCAGCGUCGUGUUCCUCUGCUUCGGCACCAUGGGCCGGUUCAGCGCGGAGCAGGCGAGGCACGUGGCGCGCGGGCUGGAGACGAGCGGGCAGCGGUUCCUGUGGGUCGUGCGCCGCCCGCCCGGCGAGGACGGCGCGGGGAAGCCGGCGGAUCCCGACCUGGACGCGCUCCUCCCCGACGGCUUCCUGGCCCGCACCAAGGGCAAGGGGCUGGUGGUGCCGUCGUGGGCGCCGCAGCGGGAGGUGCUGGCCCACGCCGCGGUUGGCGGGUUCGUGACGCACUGCGGGUGGAACUCGGUGCUGGAGGCGAUCGUGGGCGGCGUGCCGAUGCUGGCGUGGCCCAUGUACGCCGAGCAGCGGAUGAUCAAGGUGUUCCUGGUCGAGGAGCUGCGCCUGGCCGUGGCUCUGGAAGGGUACGGCAAGGAGGCGGUCAGGGACGAGGAGGUGGCUGCCAAGGUGAGGUGGCUGAUGGAGUCGGACGGCGGCAGGGAGCUCCGGGAGCGGACACGGGCGGCCAUGCGGCAGGCGAAGGCGGCGCUGAGCGACGGCGGGGAGUCGAGAACAGCGCUGCUGGAGCUCGCAAGCCAGUGGAAAAGGUGAAAGUUACUACUUGCCAAAUGGGCAUGGACGGCGAGUCGAGUCAAAAUUCAGAUACAAUAAAAAACAUGAAUAAGAGCCACGGAUCUCAAAAAUCAAAAUUCAGGUGAACGGGAACUUGGACUUUGCCAUCCUUCUCCUGCUCAGCAUCCGAACGAUCUUGUGUCACGAAACAUGAAUAAGAAAGUUGCAACACUGUAUCCAGAAAAUGCACAUUCCGACUGCACGGGGGACACGAGAAAGAGAAACGCAGCGCUCGUGUCGGACUGGAACUCUGCUCCUGUGCGUGGCCUCGUCUGAUCCUUUCAAUCGUGGGCCGAAAUCUCCAGGCCGUUCAUGAAGUCAACGAGCGCCGCCGUCGACGACCCGCCGAUCUCCAGCGCGGCGGCGGCCAUAUCCUUCGCCACCGCCGUCCUCUCCCUGAGCUCCUUCCCCUGCCGGGACUCCAUGACCAGCCUGACCUUGGCCUCCACCUCCUCCGCCUUCACCACGGCCUCGUCGUAGCCCUCCAUCACCACCCCCAGCUCCAUCCCCUCCGCGACGAACACCUUGUUCAGCCGCUGCUCCGCGUACAUCGGCCAGCACACCAUCGGCACCCCCGCCGUGACCGCCUCCAGCGUCGAGUUCCACCCGCAGUGCGUCACGAACGCGCCCGUCGCGCGGUGCCGCAGCACCUCCACCUGCGGCGCCCACGCCGGCACCACCAGCCCGCGCCCGCGCGUCCUGUCCAGGAACCCCUCCGGGAGCAGCGCCUCCAGCGCCGCCUCGCCCCGGCCCUCGAACCGCUUCGUCGAGUCGGCGUCGGGCGCGACGGGCGCGCGCACGGCCCAGAGGAACGCGUGCCCGCACCUCUCGAGCCCCGCCGCGAUCUCCCUCAGCUGCUCCGCCGGCACUGAGCUCGCGCUGCCGAAGCAGAGGAAGACCACGCUCCGCGGCGGCUGCGCGUCCAGCCACGUCAGGCACUCGUGCUUCCCCUCGCCUCCCCUCUCCUCGCCGACCAACGGCCCGACGCAGAACAGCCUCGGCACGGGCUCGCCGGGGCGGGGGCUCCCCUCUUGGAUCGCCUUCACGGCGCGGGGCUCCAACCACUCGAACGUGUUCACCAGUAUCCCCUUCGCUCUGGGCAGCUGCUCAAAGAGACAAAUGGUGGCCUCGUACUGCUCGUUGCGAGGACCAAGCAGGACCUCCGGCAAGUCGGAGGCCGGGACCGGGUGGACGCCUGGGAAGUGCAGCAAGGAGCGCCCCAUGUCCCCGAACGAGACGUCGGGCCGCAUGACGGGGAUGUGCAGGUAGGCAGCGAGCGGCGAGGCGCCCGACGUGAAGAACAGGUAGGCCGGGAGUCGGAGCUCCUCAGCGGCGUCGAGCGCGCACCCGCAGAAGAAGUCGAUGACGAGCGCCUUGACGGACGGGAGGGACCGCACGAACGCGAGGAGCGCGGGGGUGGUGGCUCGGAGGUCGGCGAUGAGCGUGAUGAAGGGGUCGGCAUCGGGGUCGGCCUCGUCGCCGGAGCGGGCGGUCGCCGGCGGGAGCAGGUGGAAGGAGACGGACGGGUAGGAGGCGGAGAGGCGCUCGACGGUCUUACGGGAGUCGCCGGACGACGGGACGUCGGCUAUGGCGACGGUGACGGGGACGCCGUGGCCGGCCAAGCGGCCGGCGAGCUGAACCAUGGGGUGGAGGUGGCCCCGAACCAUCCAUGUGUACAGCACCACGGCGCUGCCCAUUUGCUGUAUGUGGCACUGAUCUAUGUGCGCUCAGAUCAAUGGGGGAGUAUAUAUGGUGGCUGAGUGGAUUGUUGCCUGAUGUUUCGUGGUGUGGUCGUUGCUCUGCUAGCAGACGUGCAGAACAGCAGCAGCCAGAAGGUGCUGCAGGGACUUACGCAACUUUGUUGACAAUAAGAGGCGGGUAAGGGCCCGUUCGUUUCCGGCCUCUAAACCCCGAAACCUCUAAACUUUAGAGGUUGGGAUCCAAACGGCCCACUAGACGCGCUCCGAUGGCCAGUUUAGAGGUGGAGAAACUUUAGAGCCCGCGAGCACUCUAACGGCCUCUAAUCCGCUCGCUGCAGCUCACCUUUCCCAGCGCUGCCCCCCACCCCCCCGCGCCGCCGCCCCCUGCUGCGCGCCGCCGCCCCUGCUCCCCCCGCGCGAAGCUACCACUAGUCCGUCCCCAACCGGAUCCCCCGAUUCCCCCCGCAACCGCGUCGGCGAUGGCAUCCACGGCGUCCACCGGCGCCGGUGCCGGCGACGGCGAGAAGCCCUACGCGCACCUCGCGAGCCCGCUCCUCGCGCUGCCGCAGCCCCCGCAGCAGCCGCCUCCGCCGGUGCUCGUCCGCCUCCGCCGCCCGCUCCCCGGUGCUCGUCCGCCUCCGCCGCCUGCGCCCGCGCCGCGGGCGGGGCCUCUGUCGCGCCUGCGCCCGAACCCUCCCGCUCCUCCUCGCCCUCGCGCUCCUAGCCGGCGCAGCCUUCCUCCUCUACCCCUCGGCCCCCGCCGCGCGUGUCGAGGGCCUCCGCGUCGACCGCUUCCGCGCCGACCCGCCCGCGCUCGACCUUGGCCUCGCGCUGCGGCUCCGCGUCCGCAACACGGGCUUCGUCCUCCCGCUCCGCUACCGCGCGAUCUCCGCCGCCGUCUCGUACCGCGGCCACCUGCUCAGGUCCGCCCAGGCGCGGCCAGGGUCCGGCGAGCUCGCGGGCAGGGGCGAGGUGUACGUGGAUGCUGAGGUGUGGGUGGAUAGGGGGUAAAACUGUAAAUUUACUCACUUUAGAGGGCUGUAACGAACGCCUCUCUAAAUACCUCUAAAAUAUUUAGACCUCUAAUUUAUAGAUCUGUAUUUUAGACCCCUCUAAUACGAAACGAACGCACCCUAAGACUGAAGAUUUGCCACCUUUAUCAGCCGAAAGGGAAAAUGGAUGGAGAGAUCAUGGACAAAUUGUAAUCGCUGCCACUGCAACAGCUCUGACGGUGGAACGACCGCCUGGGCCUCGGGGCAGGGACACGGUGACUCGAGGUGGUAUGUCUGUCCUACGUGGGAGAUAGGCUGCCUGUAGACUUUGGAGUUUGGAUGCCAGGUGUUACAUGAUACUUGAGGUAAUGAUUUUUCUGGUUUCACCUCCUCAGUUAAAGUUGGUUUAGCGUUUCCUCACAUCAUAAUUAAUUAGUCUGCAAGACAAAAGAAGGCAUUGCGAUUAGGAAAAGAUUACAUCAAUCCUUGCACUUGAUCCGUACAUCACUCUGCAUUUUGUAAUUGCCUAAAACUCAAGCAAAAAGUAAGUGGAGGGUUCAUUCGAAGAAUGGAUGCUUACCAAGCAACCGCAAGAUUGAAGGAUUGGAAGAUGAACUGAACCCAUCCAAUGCUCAAAUGUAACUGAACUGACUCCAAUGUAAUCUUGCCCCACAAAUCAAAUUAUUUCUUCUUAUGAAAAAUGUAAUUCUUCCUUGCUGUAAUUUUAUCGCUGAGUGACAUGAACAUAGUCGGAACAAAAUGAUCUUUUGACUUUUGGAACUGAAGAAGCCAUCAUCAGGAAGAUAUACUUUUGCAUCAUCUGGUCUGCUUGAGCACUCAUUGUCUGAGGAAAUUCUGCUGAACACAUCUGCACCUGAGCUCUCAAUUACUGUCCCUGCACAUGCCUGUGCUUUCUGGUACUACAUACGGAGGCUACUUGGUACACGUAACUGAAAACCAUGAUUAGCAUCUGUUUGAAGUAUUCAAGGUGAAUGCAUAAAUAACAUAAAAUUUAGCUUGCAUUCAAUUAAAUGUGUAUUUUUAAUAGUAUAUAUAAUGAGAUGCCUAUCAAGUUCGUCUGGCCUCUCGUGAUUUUUUCCUGGUUCCACCAUUGUACACUUACACAAACUCACACCUAUAAACUUAACACAUAUAUCCUUACCUUUAUAAGCACCUCCAAGAGUGGUAUGGUAGAUAUUUAAAUUGAUGAAGUAGCCACAAAUGUCUUCCGGUCAACCGACAUGUCGCCUAUAGCUGAAGAAGUGAAAAUACAAGCACACAUGCUGAGUUGGAGAGUCAAAACAAAAGAAUUCCACCACAAGGAAUCUCACAUUUGGUUCAUGGUCUUGCUUCUCCGUGCAAUGCAUAUUCUUGUGAAUCAUAAACACUUCAUGAAAUUGUUUGGCUAAUUCGGUAUAUUUUGAUUAUUGAAAGAAUGCUCGUGAGACAAGUUGAGAUAAUUGAUUCGAUAAACACGUAUUGGGUGAUUUUACUAGUAGUAGUAAGAAAAAAGAAACACUUCUCUUAGUUUCUUGAGGGGACUAGGGACUGGUUUCUUGAGGUGCCAAGCAAGGACUUAGUAAGAAAAAAGUUAGUAUUUUUGUGAAAAAAGAUAAAAGGAAAGAGCUAAACCCCCUCAACAAUGUCCUAGAUAUUAGCAUCCAUUUCAGAAGCCAUCAUCCGUUUAUCUAUUACAUUUUAGAUAAAUGAAUAGUAAAUAUUUUGACCUCUACAAGAAUACCCGGCCAUUAUUAAAAAAAGGCAGCACCCUUCAAUACAAAAACCAAACAGAUUGAAAGCAAAGCCUAACUAUCUAUUACAUAGCAUCCAUCACUUGCAUUCUUCAUUCUAUAUAUAUAUGUCGAUCUUUCAUAAACCCCACAAAAACUCGCCAAGUUCGACAUAAGACGACCCGCCUUCUUUGAUGGCAUGUGCAGCCAUUUCCUUCGCCAUGGUCGUCCUCUCCCUGAGCUUCUUCCCUUCCCCGGACUCCAUCACCAGUCGCACCUUAGCCUCCACCUCGUCUGCCGUCACCAACUCCUCGUCAUAGCCCUCCACCGCCACCCCAACCUUCAUCUCCUCCACCAUGUGCACCUUGUUCAACCUUUGCUCCGCGUAUAAUGGCCAGCAGAUCAUCGGCACACCGGACAUGAUCGCCUCCAGUGCCGAGUUCCACCCACAGUGGGUCACGAAUGCUCCCACCGCCUCGUGCCGCAGCACCUCUGUCUGCGGCGCCCAGUUUUCCAGAACCAUUCCUCUGUCUUUGGUUCUCUCCAAGAAUCCAUCCGGAAGCAACGCCUCCAGGUCAGGCUCGGGAGAGUUGCUCUGCUCGCUUCGCACGGCCCACAAGAACCUGUGCCCUGAACGCUCUAGCCCGCGCGCCGUCUCUUUCAGCUGCGCCGCCGAGAAGGUGCCCAUGCUUCCGAAGCAGAGGAACACCACGCUUCGUUUCGGCUGCUCGUCCAUCCACUCGAGACACGCGUGCCACUCGCCGUUUUUGUUGGUGUCGCCACCGUCGACCAGUGGCCCGACGCAGUAGAUUUUCGGUGUCGAGCGGCCGGGCAGGCAAUGCCCAUCACGUAGCGCUUUCAGCGCCCUCGACUCCAGCCACUCGAAGCUGUUCACCAGGAUGCCUGUCGCUUCCGGCAUCCGGGCGAUCUGCUGCAGCCGCACCCUGCCCACGUCGCUCUCCCAAUCCUGCAUGCUGUCGGGCAUGUCGAGGGCGCGGACCGGCGGCACGCCGGAGAAUCCCAGCGGCGCCUUGCCCAUGUCCUUCGGCGAGGACGGCACCGCGCGGCGAAAAUCCGGAAGCUGGAGGUAGACCGCGAGGUCGCCGGCCGCGGACGGGUAGAAGAUGUACGCGGGGAUGGCGAGCUCUGCGGCGACGUCGAGCGCGUCGGUGCAGAACAUGUCGACCACGAUGGCGUCGACGGCGGUGGCCUGCGAGCGGAGGAACUCCCGGAGCGCGGGGCUCGCGACGCGGAGCGCGUCCAGGAUGGGUAUGAUGGGGUGGGAGUACCCCUUGUUGCUGGCGCGCGACGACGGCGGGAUGGGGAGCAGGCGGACCGUGAUGGAGGGACUGGCCGCAGCCAGGCGCGCCAGCGCGGCCGCCAGCACGGCGUCCUUCUCGGGCGGGUCGACGACGGCGAUGGUGACGGCGACGCCGCCGCGGCGGAGCAGGGCCUUGGCCAGCUGCGCCAUGGGGUUCAGGUGCCCCACGCCCAAGGAGGGGUACAGCACCACCGUCUUCUCCGCCAUGGCCUUGUGUUCCUCGCCGAGCUCACAAGAGAGUCCAACAAGAUCAAGGAGGGGCACAGGCACAAAAGGAGCCGUGGUGCUAUUGAUCUCCUUCCACGGGCCAACUCCCUCGCUUUACGUCCCCCAUUUGCAGCUAAACAUGAUGUACUUGUGGUGCCUGGUCCAUUGUCCUGGUGCAUCAGACGGGCAGCCAGCACAUGCUUCGCUCCUACUAGCAGAGGAGAAAGGGAACGUGUGGUCGCCGUCCCGUCUGCGAGGAUCAUGGCAGAACUCGCGUCAGCAUAUUCAGGACCACCCCGCCACCUCGGCGUCCUGAUGAACUGGGCCGCUGGGCGCGAUCCACGACACGAUGUAACUGACGGGCUCGCCACAUCUGAAGCGUCGGGCCACCUGUUUUUGGCUAAGGCAAGAUUCACCUGCUUUUUUCAGAAAAAAACAUCUCUAGCUUGUUUUUUUAUUACAGUAUGAAUUUGUGCCAGCCCUUCAUGCUACCUAUCUCCGAUCCGGAAGAAAAAAAAAUCGUUUUUCUCAUUUAUAUGGUAGCCAUAGCACGUCAACGACAAGAUCUAUAUACAUAUACGCCAUACUGGAGGUAGUAACGUUUUGACAUCAAUGUAUUUUUUUCUUUGUUAAACAACAUACAUACACAUACACAUACAAUAUUGUAAUCAGAUUAACAUAUUACCUUCCACUGUGCAAAGGUUAAGUUCGAUUUUAUAGUCGUAUAUUUUGCAAUAUUACUCUUGUAUAUACAAACGCAUAGCUCAAUUUGUAAAUUGCCAGCUAGCAAUUUCAAGUCCAACAGCCGUCUAUGAAAAUUGUUCAAAAUCUUAUCAUCACAAUGGCAAAUCUAAGGAGGUAUGUUACACACCUAGCAGAGCUUGAAGCCAAUAGACACACGGUGAAAAUAGUUUCUGUGAGGUACCGGAUUUUCGAAAGAGAAUCCGACUCUGUGUAUCGUCGUGACUCUCUGUAUCGUUGUGAUAGUCCCUGAUCAGUAGCUAUCACAUGCAGAACUCAUCUCAGACGGAUAUCUUAAUCAUACAUUGCAUAGAUUUAGAUAUGGAUUUAAUUUAUUACACAAUCUGAAGUAUUGUAUCACGAGUUUUACAAUACAAGCUUCUUGGGCUAAGGUGAAACGAACAGAAAACGGAAGCGGUAGCUAAGCUUCUGGGCCAUCCUUUGUCUUGGGGAACACCCCUCCACAGGCAACUUUGAGUGAAGUACGGGCCAUCCUUUAGUCAUCCUUCUUAGUCGGGGUUACGAUUCGGAUCAAAUCCUGCAUCUACCAACUAUCUCCAAGGAGUGGGAUAGGUUCACGUCACCAUCCGCAUGCAAGGUUUAAGUGGUCAGGUAUAGCAAAAUCAAGGAGGAAAGAUGGGGUUUCCUAUGCAUAAGCAGCACCAUAAGUUAUAUCAUCAUCCAAACUCCGAACUCGGGCCAUUACAGCAUUCCAGACUCCCGGUUCACACACACCUUCGAAAUACCACCGAAUCGGUGCGAGAACUCCCACUCCUCGCACCUCAGCUGCCCCAGGCAAAAGUCAAACACUAGAGGGAGGUAGAAAACAUGUGUAACACUAAUUAAUAAGAGUAACAGAAGAGUAGGAUUGUACAUGACCGAGUACACGUAUAGUUUUCACCCUACAGGGGUUGUACACCUAGACUCACUCGAAUCUAAGCUAGCUAGGAGCGACCCAACUGAACGAUGAGACACCGGUCUACUGAAACAGGAUUAGGAGCCACGGCACCAUCCGGCUUUCCCGGAUCUUGGGCGCAUCCUCCCGCAAGAGGUCGCUUCGGGAUUGUGAAGCCUCCCUUGCGUUUCGAGGAACAUGAGGUCAGCACCUCCUUCCCCUGCACUGAUACUCGAUCCUUCUACCGGCUUGGUACCGCACUCGCUAGCCCCGGACCGGGUCUACCCUCAUAAUGGGUAAGUGGUGUGCACGCUUAACAUAGUCCCACUAAUUAUAGUUACCCUCAACCGGUUCUCAAUUGCCGAAGCAAGCAUCUUCAUCACAUGCGUCUCCACCGUAAUGGUCCGCAGCUGCACCCAUUACGGGUGCCACCAACUCCUCAACCAAGUAACCACUAGAGACGUACCUGCCAUAGGCACACCAUAGAGUGUGCCAAGAUACACACUCCAAACCCUCGAUCCAAAGAUCAAGUUAAGGUGGCUUGCUCCCUACUAAAAGGCCUAUUCACCAACUCUGAAAAGUGUAUCUCCACUCACACUAAGACUAUCCAUGCAUCCCACACAUACACAUAUAAGGCAUAGCAAGGCAUCUCAUAUAAUUAUCAUGUAUAUAGUAUUACAAGAAGUUCAUGUAAUUAAAAUAGGCUAUGCAGGUUUAUCUCAUCAUAACAUAAGAUAAAGCACAACAUAUCUAGCGAGUAAUGCCUAAUAGGUAUUCAAAUUCGUAGAUGGGCGUGAACCUAGUGGUUCUUUGUAGUCUUCCGGUGUCUUCUGGUCAUCUGGGAAGUCCUCCUAGAUCUUCCGGUUGUCCGGGACGUCGGUCAAUUCCUUCUUGCGGGGACCUAAUCAUAAAUACAUAUAAAUAUAGGGACCAAAAUUCAAAAACACAUAAAAGUACUCAAAUAAGAUCCAAAUCACAACAAAACCUAAUCUAAUGGGUAGAUCAUGAUUUUAGAAGAAUUAUGAAACUGGUUUCAUAAUUUUUGCAGGUCCGGUUAAUUAAUUAUGAAUAUUCUAAGAUUAAUUUAUUUUUUGAAAUUAAUAAAAGAUUUUGGAAAAAGAACACACGGUCACCUCCACGUGUCAGUACCAGGGUGCGCUACGUGGCAUGCUGACGUCAUCAUGAGGUCAGCAGGUGGGUUGGAUCCGCUGACGUUAGCAGUGGGUCGUGUUGACGUCAGGGUUGACUGGUCAACGCUGACUAGUCAACGGUCAAUGGGGUCAGGUGGUCAGUGGGUCCUGCUGGUUAGUCACACCAUGUCACUGACAGAUGGGACCCACGUGUCAGGUCGAUGAAAGGAAAAAGAAAAAGAUUAGACGGCUCGGGCUCACUGGGCUGAAAGAUACUGGGCUGGCUCGGUCCAGCCCAUCAGGCUCGGCUUGGCUAAAUAGGCCGGCAUGCCGAGUUGGGUUGGUCUCGGCCCAAUGCGCCCGUCUCCUCCCCUUAUUCUCUUACAACUCGGCCCCGCAGGUCAGUUUCUCCCUCUCCCUACUCACACACGUUGACAGGCAUGGCCCACCGGUCAGUGGCUCGCCAGACCUGGUGUGGCAGCGCCCAGAUCCGGUGCGGUGGCUACGCGUGUGUGAGUCAAGUGUCAGUGGAGGUGGGUGUACCUGUGUGUGCCCCAAGGGCGUUCGACGAAAGGCCGCACUGGCCUGGCCGUGACACGAACGCGAUGUCGUGGUCGUGCUGGGGUGGUGACCGCACACCGUGAGUCCGUGAUGAGGCAGGCAUGACUGGAAUUGGCAGGUGUGUGCGCCGGUGCGCGGCCUCCUGGUGCUCCAGAGCCACAGCGCAGGGGCAGGACGGCGGCACAGUGUGGUAGGGUAAGGCGAGAUCACGAUGGCGGGGCUCGGGAAAGGGCAAAGGCACAGCCUUUUGCCGUUGGCUGGGGACGAGCUCACGCUCGGGAGCACAUGGCAGUCCAGGGCCGCGACGCGACGGUGCGGCGUGGCAAGGUGGGAGGAUGACCGGCGAUCAAGGGCCGUGAGGCAAGGACAAGGCUCGGCCUUGUGGCCGACGGCUUGGUGCGCAUGCACGCGCGCGGGUCUUGGUACCCCAGGACCGCGGCGUGGCUGUGCCGUGCGCGGGGCACCGGUGUUCCGAGCCCGCGACACGGUUACAGCGGCGAGAGGGCGACGGCGGCUGCAGGAAACAUGGCGGCACUUCAGGCUCCUGCACGAGAAGGGGUAGGAUUGGGGAUUAUAGGGACCCCUGUUGGAAGGUUCAUCGAUGUCGGGGAGCUCGUCGGCAGUAGGAGGGAGAACGGGAAGGGGCGGCGGCACCUACCAGCGUGGUUGACAAAGGCGGGGACGGCACUGUUACGGGGGUGCGGACGUGACAAGGUGAGGCUGUGCGGGUAGCGCAAGGACGUCGGUGUCGUCGAGUGGGGCGCUGGCGUGGCGGCGAACUCCAACGGCGGCGGCGUGAGGCAAUUCCGGCGGUGGCUUCUUCAGCUGGGACAGCUCCCCCUUGGCUUGCGCGUCUUCGAUCGGUGGUGGCGUCGGGCUCACGGCGGCGCUCGUAGGCUCUUGAGCGGGUGGCUCCUCCUCCUUGGGCCCACCUCCUUCUCCUCCUCUUCCUCUUCUCCCCCUCAGGUAACGGCGGCGGACAAGGGGGAAAACCCCAAAGACAGCUAGGGUUUCGGAUCCGGUGGCUGGGGCUUUUGUAGGCGGCUAGCUAGGGUUUGGCUCGGUCGGUUGCGCGAGGACGACGGGGAUCCUCGGCGUCCAGGCCGUGGACGCGUGGCGCGGAUCCGAGGGGGUCCCGGGCUAGGGUUCGGGAUGCAGCUCGAGGCUUGGUGACCGAUAGGGGAGGUGCGGCGGCAGGCGUGACGCAAGCGAGGCAGCACGGCCGUUGCACUGCUUUGGCGCAAAGCGAGGGAGGCGAGGCGCUGGGGGGAGUGCACGCGCGGGCGGAGACGGUGAGGGAGCGGGGUGAGGCGCGGUUGGAGGUGGGAGAAGGGAAAGCUGACGAGUGGAUCCCACUCAUCAGUAGCUCGAGCGGUGGAGAAGGGGUAAGCCCGACGAGGUCGCGGGCUGGGCCAGUUAACGGGCCAUGUGAGGGUGUGCUGGCAGGCCGGCUUAGCCAGCUGGGCUGGAUUAUGGCUGGUUUUUAGGUAGAGUAGGUUAGUGGGUCAGGCCGGGUUAGGGCUGGAUUGGGGUUAGAGUCAGCGGAUCAGGUUAGGGCUAGGGCCAAGCGUUUUAGAGACUUAGGUGGGUCCACGCAGGGUAAGUUAGCUUUUGAAUUUAAAUUUAAAGGGCACACUUCAAAUUUAAAUUUCACAUAAUUUCAAACCAAGAAAAUAAAUCCCAGAGCGAUUUCAAAUAAACAAGAUAGCUUCGAUUAAAUCCUAACAACUCCAAUUAAAUUCAUACUAACAAGAAUAUCCUUAAUCCAAACCAAACCAACAAAUUCAAACAAGCCAAUUCGGAAGAACUCGAAUAACUCCAAAUUAAAUCACAUUAAUAGAUUAGUUUAACACUUAUAUAUUAGGUUUUAUUUUGCUAGGAAUUUCGGAUACAAGAGAGAUAUCCUUAUAUUAUUCCCAGAUUCUAACACUUACAUAAGAAGUUUUUAAAAUUCACGAUUUUUGCAUCUUAGAACAUUCCGGAAAAAAUUCGGGAUGUUACAGUUUCAUUUUAUGGCUUCUGAUUUUUUUUUGAGACAAUAUGGGGAGAAGGGCUAGUCAAAGUUCCAUUAAAAACAAAGAACAAUUGUGGGUCCAUCACAAUUCGCUUUCUUUCGUACAAAUCCUGUUCUUUUGCAAGUCUGUCAGGAACUCGUCAAAUACCACGUCAGAUGACCCGCCUUUCUUGAUAGCAUCUAUAGCCAUCUCCCUAGCCGUCGUGAUCCUUUGCCUAAGCUCCUUCCCGUUAUCAGGCGCCAUCACCAAUCUCACCUUUGUUUCCAACUCCUCUGCUUUCACUAGCUCCUCCUCGUACCCCUCCACCACCACGCCCACUUUCAUCUCCUCCACCAUAUGCGUCUUGUUCAUUCUUUGCUCCGCAUACAAUGGCCAGCAGAUCAUCGGCACUCCUGACACGAUGCCCUCUAACACCGAGUUCCACCCACAAUGCGUCACGAAUGCUCCGACGGAUUGGUGCCGCAGCGCCUCGCUCUGCGGCACCCAAUUCUUCACCACAGACCUCCUCUCCCUAGUCCGGUCCAAGAAACCCUCCGGAAGCAACGAUUCCAAGUCUGGCUCGACGGAGUUGCUCUGGUGCUCAGGUGGGUUCCGCACCACCCACAGGAACCUCUUCCCGGAGUUCUCCAGCCCACGCGCCAUCUCUCUCAACUGCGGGGUGGAGAACCUGCCCAAGCUGCCGAAGCUGAGGAAAACAACGCUCCGGUCCGGUUGGGAGUCCAGCCAUUCGAGGCACGCGUGCCUCUCGCUGAUCCCUUCCGCGUUUCCAGGGAGGACCAACGGCCCGAUGCAGUGGACUGGCGGAGUCGAACGCCCGGGCGUGCAGAGGCCACACCUGAGCGCUUUCAGGGCCCGCGACUCCAACCAGUCGAAGCUGUUCACGAGAAUGCCUCUCGCGUCGAGCAUGCGCGCGUACUGGGCAAGCCGCGCCUUGGAGACGUCGCUGUCCCGGUCCUGCACCGUGGUCGGCAUGUCGAGAGCGCGGAUCGGCGGCACGCCGGGGAAGUGGAGGACGGCCUCGGGCAUAUCCUUGAACGAGGACGGGGCGGCGGGGUAGUAGUCCGGCAGGUGGAGCAUGACGGCGAGGUCGCCGAGCGCGGAGGGGAAGAAGAGGUAUGCGGGAACGCCGAGCUCGGCGGCGACGUCGAGCGCGUCCGUGCAGAACAUGUCGAGCACGACGGCGUCCACGGCGGGGACCUGCGCGCGGAGGAACUCCCGGAGCGCCGGGUUGGCGGCGCGCAUCACGUCGAUGAUGCGCAUGACGAGGUGGGGAUGGUCCUCCCUGCCGCAGGGCGGGAUGGGGAGGAGGCGGAACGCGACGUUCGGGUUCGCGGCGGCGAGGCGCGCCAACGCGUCGGCGGACACGGAGUCCUUGUCGGGCGAGUCGACGACGGCGAUGGCGACGGCCAGGCCGCGGCGGAGGAAGAUCUUGGCCAGCUCCACCAUGGGGUUCAGGUGGCCGACGCCCAGCGAGGGGUACAGGACCACCGUCUUCGGCGCCGCGACGGCCAUGGGUCACAGUUCUCGUUCUUGACGAGGGAACGGAACGCGACAUUGAAAUACGGGGCCACCUGUUUAUUCUAUAUAUAACGUGAAGCGGCAGGGCCUUUGGCCUGUCCAGUUGUUUGUCUUUGAAUGGCUGCCGUUGUUUCCAUGUGUUCACUUCCAAUUCAAGUCUCACGUUGAGCUGGAGAGAGCCAAAUCGGCAACGUGUUAAGGCUGCCCGGCUGCGUGCCCGGGAUCAAUGGGCGGCGCCGGCGCUCCUCUUGUUUGAAGUAACCGCUUCGAAAUGUGCGCAGACAAACGGCGAGCUCUUUAAUCAUCUUGGCCUUGGCAACGCAUCACGGGUUCACCUUUUGCUUCUAACAUUUAAAAUGAAAACAUUUCUAGUCAAGAACGCAUCUAAAAAUCCUCAACAUCUAAAGAUUUCCGAUCAACCAAGAUUGGAGUUGUUGCGACUAUUUAUGUUUGUGGCGACUAUCUGACCGAAAAAGAAGCGCCGGUAGUCAGAUCUAGCCCAUAGAGCGAGUUGGGCCACAGCUAGCUAGGUCCAUUUCUGGAUUGAGGCGUGCGGUGGACUUAGUGUAAAUAUCACACUUUUGCUUACUUAGAUUGCUCUCUCACGUUGUAAAUUAUAGAUUUAUCUAAUCUACUAGCUAAUUGGUAGGUAACUAAUUUUAGCUAAGGUGAAUCCGAAUAGGACAAACUAAUUGUCAGGUAAAGUCCUUCUAUAUACCUAAAUAUUAGCUAUCUAAUUAGCCGAUCCAACCUAAAUAAUUUAUAGCCUCUAAUGGAUUAGCUGGGUGGAUCCAAACAGGCUUUAUGAAUAAAAAUUUGCGAUCCUCACUUUUCAGAAAAGAAAAAAAAAUGGCGAUCUUCAAACUAAGUAGGAUUGAGCACAUCCGAUUUUUGGACAAUUGUUUCCAGGAUGACAAACUUCUAGCCUUCUACGGUUCCCAACCAAGCAAUAAGCAAAAUCUUCUUUACCCACUUUUUUUUUAUUAUAGCUGAUAUUCUAUUUGUAGAAGGUACAAAAUAUGGUUGGUCAAACAAUGAAAGGAUAGCAUAGAAUGAUAGAAUAUUAUAAGAUAAAAGGUAACACAAGCUACAAAUCCAUUAGUGGGCGAGCUCCUCUCCAAGGUUCUCCACGUCCAACAAGAACUGAACAAACGCUGCGUGUGACGAGCCUCCUACCUCUAAUGCCGCCUCUGCUUCUUUCCUUCGUGCCACCACUCGUGCCUGGAGCUCCCUCCCCUCCUCAGACUCCAUCACCAGUCUUACUUUUGCCUCCACCUCCUCGGCCUUGAUAAAACCUGUCCUAUACCCCUCUAUCUCUACUCCAACACCCAUAUCCUCAGUCAUGAAUAUCUUGUUCAUCUUCUGCUCCGCAUACAAGGGCCAGCACAACAUCGUGACCCCCGCCAUGAUGCCCUCCAUCGUCGAGUUCCAUCCGCAGUGGGUCACGAAUGCGCCUGUAGCUGGGUGGUUCAGUACAUCCACCUGCGGUGCCCAUGACUUGAUAACAAGGCCUCGAUCCUUGGUUCGCUCCAAGAAACCCUCCGGUAGGAGGGCAUCGAGGUCCGGCUCACAUGGUUUGUCCAAUAACCUCUUCGGAUCAUUGAUGUUGGCCGGAACGCGCACGACCCAUAGGAACCGUUGCCCGGACUUCUCCAGGCCAACGGCGAUCUCCUUGAGCUGCUCGACGGAGAAUGUGCCCAUGCUCCCGAAGCAGAGGAACACGACGCUGCGCUCCGGCUGAGCAUCGAGCCACGCGAGGCACUCGUGCCUCUCUGUUUUCUCGCCAUUCCGUCCGCCGCCGCUGACCAACGGCCCGACGCAGUAUACUGGAGGCAGCACCUUGCCAGGGAAGCACAGGGGAUCCCUGAGUGCCCGCACCGCUCGACUCUCGAACGACUCGAACGUGUUCACCAGAACCCCCCUGCUGUUCAUGCCGCGCUCAAAGAUGCUCACCAUGGUCUUGCACUGCUCUUCCUCGGGGUGCGCGAGCAGUUCCGCGAUCAGGUGGGACGCCGGCACGGGCGGAACGCCAAGGAACUCGAGGGGCGUGUCCCCCAGCUCCUCCAGACCCGUCUGCCUGCCGGCCAACAGCGUCGGGAGCUGGGUCACCACGGCCAGCGAUGACGCGCCCGAGGGGACGAACGUGUAAGCCGGGACGCCCAGCUUCGCGGCGACGUCGAUGGCGUCGACGCAGAACAUGUCGAUGACGAGCGAGUGCAAGCGCUGCCGCGGGAUGGAGCGGAGGAAGCCCUCGAGCUUGUCGUUGUACUGGCGCAGCAUCUGCAGCAUGAGGAGGAACGGGUGCUUGGGGGAGCCGGCGAAGUCGGGGGCCGGGAUCGGCGGGAGGACAUGGAAGGAGAUGGACGGAUUGGCCGCGGCGAUCUGCUCGAUUUGGCUGGCGCCCAGUGCGGACGACUUGAAGGGCGGUGGGACGAUCACCAUGGUGACGUCGUAGCCGUGGCUGAGGAAGACCCUGGCGAGCUCCGCCAUGGGCACGACGUGGCCAACGCCGGCGGCGGGGUACAGGAUGACGGUCUGCUUCAUUUGCUUAAGCGGUGGUUCGCCUUCGCCAACUAGAAACUAGGAACAAAUAUUUCGGAACAAAUAAGGAUGCUUUCGCUCGAGUUAUCCUGGGAGAUGCUUGGCUAGCUGCGUAGUUAGGCAGGCAACAUUUUAUAGCUGCGUACUGCCUUGCCGGAGAAGCAGCCUGAUGAAUCGUUUGGUCAGAGGAGAGAUGCCUUCUAACUACUGCUGUAUAGAUAGCCAUGUUUGGCAGCAUGUCAGGAGAUGGAUAUGGGAGGAUGCUUCCUGGCAAUCUGUAUUUUCUAGUUUCUAGAAGAAGCAAGACUUGAUCACCUUAUUUAUGUAUGAUUGUGCUUGCGGUACAAGCUGUAACUAGGACUUUUACGUUUUAAUAACCAAAAACUGUUCUAAAGAAAAUUAAAAAGUUAAUAGUACCUUACAAGUUGCAGAUCAAGGCAAAGGUGGAGCUUGAAGGAGUCAACAGAGGGCCAGACUGAGACAGCCUGUGGUUCAAAUUCCCGGUAAGAAAUGGUUUUAUCUUACCAUUUUAUUACCACACAAGUAGCAGUAGCAAUGGACCGGAGGGAAAACAAAUAUAUGUCAUAGUCGGUUCACCUCACAUCAGUCAUCUCACAACUCUACUUGUUCCAAGUCUUCCAUGUACCCUGCUGUACACGUUAUCACCGUGACCUUUGAAUGUGUGGAACCGUUUCAUCGAGGCACGCAUGAACUCCGCUUUAGUCCACUCAGCCAUCUCUCCCCGUUCCAAAUCAAAAGGUUUUCGUGAUAUGAGAGAGGCAAGAAAUAACGAUUGCAAAAAAUCCUUCCUUUUUUCUUUCAUUUCAAAAGUGCAUAAAAAUUAUAUUGCCAAUUCCAUUUUAAUUACAUUCUUUUUUCUUAAUGUUAAUAAAAAAGAAGAAAAUUCUUGUUUUUUCUUUCCUAAAUUCGAUAUAGGCUGGGUUGAGAUGAGAGACAAUCAGAUAAAUUUUCUCUUCAGCGGGCAGUUCCAUAUAGGAUUUGUUAGAAUAAAAACAAGUAGGUUAUAAAAAAAACUCUUUUUUCCGAUUAUUUAUCCACAAAGCAAAAAAAGGUUCUUAUCAGACCCACAAUAAAAUUAGAAAGAAAGAUAAAGUAAGUAGACCUGACCCCUUGAAUAAUGCCUCU